GUGUCAAUCUGUUGAGGGGAAAUGUAGUGAAUAUGUGUAUCAAUUCCACCUGCAGUCAAAAUCAAUCCCUCUCCAGCGAGAGCCUCUGUUGAUGCACCAACCGUCAUUCCCGGUGUCACACCAUCCAUGAUAUCUGGAUUUCCAGCCUUGCCAAUGCCUGCAAUCUUUCCGUCCUUAAUACCAAUAUCUGCCUUAUAAAUCCCUGUGUAAUCUAAAACCAAGCAAUUAGUGAUGACAAGAUCCAGAUCUCCAUUUGCACUUGUUGUAGUUACGGACUGUCCCAUACCAUCGCG
This 293-nucleotide small RNA is filed under the name human oral metagenome. RNAcentral describes it as "5' ureB small RNA". It matches the Rfam family "5' ureB small RNA". The record is from RNAcentral.